Long non-coding RNA from Lutra lutra (Eurasian river otter), 724 nucleotides. RefSeq lists it as uncharacterized. The record is from RefSeq and is a predicted model, not a curated record. The transcript has 3 exons. Lineage: Eukaryota; Metazoa; Chordata; Mammalia; Carnivora; Mustelidae.
UGUGUGCGCGGGCUAAGCGCGUGUCCGGGGGCGCGCGCCGGGGAUGGAGGCUGUGGUGCUCCUGUGGGAAGAGAGGGGUGAAAGGUCGCCGGUCCCGGCAACACAGCUCAGGCAAACGUAAGCGGCUUGUCGCAGAAACCAAGGGGUCUAAGAAACGCACUAGGCUAGAAGGCGGGAAGCAGAGAUUACUGACAGUCAUGCUAGCCAAUAAAAUGGGAAUGUGAGAAAGGCUCUCCAGGCCCCUUCCCAAUCAGGAAACUUAGGGAACAUCUAGGAGGUAUUGGGAUUUCUGGCGCUUUUUAAGUGAUGAAAGACAGAUUAAAGUCCACUGAACAAGGGGAAAACAAUAACAUUUGGUUUGGGAAUAAAAGUUCAUCUGGAGUUUGAAAAACACUUUUCCUCAAGUCAGAGAAGAAGAUAUGCUGAGACCUCAAAGAAAGGGAAAGCCGACUUAAUAUUUAAAUACUACCUACCAUUCCAUGGGGCCUAGGAGCAGAAGGUAUGAUUUUAAAUGUGGAUAGCAUGCUGACCAAUAAUUUAUUUAACUCUGAUAUGCCAGGAAUUUCAGAGACUAUCUUAAGACCUGGUCAGACAUCUAAGGGUCAGUUAGCUAUGAUCUGAUUUGGUCAAUGAAGGUUAUCAGAGAGUACAGUUUAUUAUCCAUUCUCUAUGAUGUUUUAUUAUUUUUUAAAAAAGCAUACUUCUCCAUUUCAUACUAUGUGUA